Molecule: small nuclear RNA, 104 nt
Organism: Gorilla gorilla gorilla (western lowland gorilla)
Lineage: Eukaryota; Metazoa; Chordata; Mammalia; Primates; Hominidae
Source: Ensembl
UUGCUUUAGCAACACAUACACUAAAACUGGAAUGAUACAGAUAAGAUUAGCAUAAGUUCCUGUGUAAGGAUGACACGCAAAUAAAUGAAGCAUUCGUAUUUUUU